Molecule: ribosomal RNA, 253 nt
Filed under: uncultured bacterium
Lineage: Bacteria
Description: partial 16S ribosomal RNA
Rfam family: Bacterial small subunit ribosomal RNA
Source: RNAcentral
AACGUAGGAGACGAACGUUAUCCGGAGUUACUGGGCGUAAAGGGCGUGUAGGCGGUUUGUUAAGUCUGGCGUGAAAGCUCUCGGCUAAACCGGGAGAGGUCGUUGGAUACUGGCAAACUUGAGGAUGGUAGAGGCGUGUGGAAUUCCGGGUGUGGUGGUGAAAUGCGUAGAGAUCCGGAGGAACACCAGUGGCGAAGGCGACACGCUGGGCCAUACCUGACGCUAAAGCGCGACAGCAUGGGGAGCAAACGGG